AAGUCGAACGGGAGAAUUGCUAGCUUGCUAAUAAUUCUCUAGUGGCGCACGGGUGAGUAACACGUGAGUAACCUGCCUCUUAGUGGGGGAUAGCCCUGGGAAACCGGGAUUAAUACCGCAUACGAUUGAAAGAUCAAAGCAGCAAUGCGCUAGGAGAUGGGCUCGCGGCCUAUUAGUUAGUUGGUGAGGUAACGGCUCACCAAGGCGAUGACGGGUAGCCGGUCUGAGAGGAUGUCCGGCCACACUGGAACUGAGACACGGUCCAGACACC
Molecule: ribosomal RNA, 271 nt
Filed under: uncultured Akkermansia sp.
Lineage: Bacteria; Pseudomonadati; Verrucomicrobiota; Verrucomicrobiia; Verrucomicrobiales; Akkermansiaceae
Description: partial 16S ribosomal RNA
Rfam family: Bacterial small subunit ribosomal RNA
Source: RNAcentral